UACGAAGGGUGCAAGCGUUGUUCGGAUUUAUUGGGCGUAAAGAGCAUGUAGGCGGAUUGCCAAGUCAGGUGUGAAAUCUCGGAGCUUAACUUCGAAACAGCGCCUGAAACUAGUAGUCUAGAAUACUAAAGAGGGAAGGGGAAUUUCUCAUGUAGGGGUAAAAUCCGUAGAGAUGAGAAGGAACAUCAGAGGCGAAGGCGCCUUCCUGGUUAGUAAUUGACGCUGAGGUGCGAAAGCGUGGGGAGCAAACAGG
This 253-nucleotide ribosomal RNA is filed under the name uncultured bacterium. RNAcentral describes it as "partial 16S ribosomal RNA". It matches the Rfam family "Bacterial small subunit ribosomal RNA", at positions 524 to 776 of the family's 1533-position model. The record is from RNAcentral.